UACGGGGGGAGCAAGCGUUGUUCGGAUUUACUGGGCGUAAAGCGUGCGCAGGCGGUUUUGUAAGUCUGAUGUGAAAUCCCCGGGCUCAACCUGGGAAUUGCAUUGGAGACUGCAAGGCUAGAAUCUGGCAGAGGGGGGUAGAAUUCCACGUGUAGCAGUGAAAUGCGUAGAGAUGUGGAGGAACACCGAUGGCGAAGGCAGCCCCCUGGGUCAAGAUUGACGCUCAUGCACGAAAGCGUGGGGAGCAAACAGG
RNAcentral lists this ribosomal RNA (253 nucleotides) under uncultured bacterium. RNAcentral describes it as "partial 16S ribosomal RNA". It matches the Rfam family "Bacterial small subunit ribosomal RNA", at positions 524 to 776 of the family's 1533-position model. The record is from RNAcentral.